This 74-nucleotide transfer RNA is filed under the name Methanosarcinales archaeon. Its description in RNAcentral is "tRNA-Arg". It matches the Rfam family "tRNA". From Rfam's summary of the family: Transfer RNA (tRNA) molecules are approximately 80 nucleotides in length. The record is from RNAcentral. Lineage: Archaea; Methanobacteriati; Methanobacteriota; Methanomicrobia; Methanosarcinales.
AGUCCAAUAGGGUAGCGGAUAUCCUUGAAGCCUGCGGAGCCUCAGACCCAGGGUUCAAGUCCCGGUUGAGACUA